CCUUGCGUUAGGUUUAUUGGCCAAAAUACCAUUGCCAAUAGCGUGUAAUAAGUGGGUUUUACCCAAACCGGUACCACCAUA
This 81-nucleotide antisense RNA is filed under the name Parahaemophilus pittmaniae. RNAcentral's name for it is "Haemophilus pittmaniae antisense RNA of dnaA mRNA". It matches the Rfam family "antisense RNA of dnaA mRNA". Lineage: Bacteria; Pseudomonadati; Pseudomonadota; Gammaproteobacteria; Pasteurellales; Pasteurellaceae. The record is from Rfam by way of RNAcentral.